This 253-nucleotide ribosomal RNA is filed under the name uncultured bacterium. RNAcentral's name for it is "partial 16S ribosomal RNA". It matches the Rfam family "Bacterial small subunit ribosomal RNA", at positions 524 to 776 of the family's 1533-position model. The record is from RNAcentral.
UACGGAGGGAGCAAGCGUUGUUCGGAUUCAUUGGGCGUAAAGGGCAUGUAGGCGGCGCUGCCAGUCGGGUGUGAAAUCCCACUACUCAAUGGUGGAAUUGCAUUCGAAACUGCAGUGCUCGAGUUCAGGGGAAGAGAGUGGAAUUCUCGGUGUAGCGGUGAAAUGCGUAGAUAUCGAGAAGAACACCGGUGGCGUAAGCGGCUCUCUAUCCUGAAACUGACGCUGAGGUGCGAAAGCCAGGGGAGCGAACGGG